UUUUGCAAUUGCGCCUUGAGCCAAAUUUUAUAGAACCAGACUUAUCGGAUGCAUUACAUAGUCUUUGGAAGAAUGAUAUUCCAUCCAAGAUGGGAGUAUUUGGAUGGCGUUUGCUACUCGACAAAUUACCGACUCAAGCGGCUUUAACUUCAAAAGGUAUUUUGUCUAAUCCACACGAUUUACCGUGCGUAUUUUGUUAUCAAGAAGUCGAGGAUUGUUUUCAUCUUUUCUUUAAUUGUUGCAAAGUCCAAGAAUUGUGGAGGAAAGUAUUUUUGUGGAUGGGUUUUGAUUCUAGCUUACAGGAAGGUGG
RNAcentral lists this long non-coding RNA (310 nucleotides) under Trifolium pratense (red clover). Its description in RNAcentral is "long non-coding RNA (TPRA_LNC012322)". The record is from RNAcentral. Lineage: Eukaryota; Viridiplantae; Streptophyta; Magnoliopsida; Fabales; Fabaceae.